ACGAAUACUUAGUCCUUGAUUACACAGCUACAACGACUGUUGGAGUGCCCGGUAAAAGAUUCCAAAAUGAUACCAAGAAAAAUGUGCAAAACGUUUGCAGUUUCAAAAAAGUACUAAGUUGAACGAAGAAAAAACAGGAAGUUACAACGAUGACAACAAUUAAUGCAGUAAGCCUUCAAAAGCCAAUUCACGUACCAUCUGACUUCAGGAUCUGAAAGUUGACCAAGGGCUGCUUCCACAAAUCACAGCGGCCUCUGGAACACCGUAACAUGGAAAGAAAGAGCGAAAGAAAGAAGAAGACGACAAUGGAAGGUUGGAGAAUAUUUAAGUGAAGCUGCCGAAAGAAGUUUCCCACUUGCAGUAGUGAUCCAGUUUGACUUGGUAGACUCCACCAGAUAUCGACAAGAGCGAGAAAGGCUAUUCCGAAGCAAACAAGACAUAUACACCCCAAAGUUUUGGGCUUGGAUCGAUGUGCCACAAAAUUUCAACAGCAAGGAUGGGAGGAGAUGAGACCAAGAGAAGAGCAUUCAUUCACGCAAGAAAGUUGGCAUAUCGGAGGCCAAAGACGAGGGGUUUUAUAGAGGAUGAAGAGAUGCACACAGUGCAUGCCGUCUGUGUCCAUGAAUCCAUGAUCGAACAUGGGCGAGAACGGCUUUUCG
Molecule: long non-coding RNA, 659 nt
Filed under: Elaeis guineensis (African oil palm)
Lineage: Eukaryota; Viridiplantae; Streptophyta; Magnoliopsida; Arecales; Arecaceae
Description: long non-coding RNA (EGUI_LNC072846)
Source: RNAcentral